GCUGCUGCCUGCUGGGCUCUGACUCCCCAGGCUCCCAGCUUGGGCCCAAGUACCCACAAAAGCUGAGGCGGUGAAGAAAACUCCCUGCUGGCCCCCUCUUGCCUUGUUCUGGCGCUGCCAGGCACAGCUAUGGGAGCUGGCACAGCAAUUUAAUAGCCACCAGCCGAAAGCUGGGGCAGGGAACACCUUCAGCUGGCAGUGCUGGGUGCCUGGGUAGCUCUCCUGCAUGGUUUUUUCCCCAAGGCAUUUUGCACCAGUUCAAGAGCUGCAGGUAGAGAGCCAAACCCCAGAGCCUGGCAAAGGUGCCAGCUGCUCUGCAGUCAGGACAGACCUAGCCACUGACUCCAGGCUGACCAUGUUCCGGCCUUAAAUAGCUGCUUGUCGAGGACAGGUGGGUCACAGCAAACUUUAGUUUUCUGGAAACAGCAAGCACAUUGUGCAGGGAAAGCUUUCCAAGGAUGCUCCCCACGCCCUUUUCAGGAAAUACCACGCAGCUCUCCCUCGUGCCAGGCCAAGUUUUUUCCAUUUAAUUGGCAUAAAUGACAGCCUGGGCAAGGCCACACUGUGUUUUCCCUGGGCUGCUUAUUUUGAAAUCGCUGCUGAUUUGAUCUUUGCAUCUCUCCACCCCCAGGCUGGUCUUGCUCCCUUCGUGUUCCUGUUGCCAGAGCUUGCUCCAGUGCAAGGGGUUUGCUGGGGAGUGACAGUGCAGUGCAGGGUUCUCCAGUGACUGGUGGGGACAAGCUUUUGAUCAAGGCCUGUUGUGACAGGACAAGGGGAGAUGGUUUUAAUCAAAAAGAGGAGAGAUUCAGAUUAGGCAGAAGGAAGGCAUUUUUGGCGCUGAAGGUGGUGAGACACUGGCCCAGGUUGCCCAUCUCUGGAACUGUUCCAGGUCGGGUUGUUUGGGGCUCUGAGCAACCUGCUCUGCUUGCAGAUGUCCCUGCUGACUGCAGAAGAGGGGUGGAUUAGAUGACCUUUAAAGGUCUCUUCCCACCUAAACCACUAUCUGAUUUUAUUCUAUGAUUUUAAUGAUCCUGUGUUGGUCACAGCCAGGUCCUUGGGACAUCACCUGACCCUGGGAUGAAGUAAUAGAGUUGCAUUUGGUUUGACAAAGCCAUCACACAGAGAGGAGACAAUGAUCAUCUCUGCCCAGCACCCCCCAGCCCUCACAGGAGUUGCUCCAGCCCUGGAGCUGCUCCCCUAGCAGUAAUGGCUGCCCUUCCUUCAUGGGGGCACCCAAAAUAUGCUCUCCCCACAUGGUGAUGACACAGUGCCUGCACAGUGCUGGUGUAACCUGCUCUUCCAAGACCUACUAGUCCAGGGUGGGGUUGGGUUGGCCUGGGUUUAUUACCAGUUCCUGCUUGGCUCUGGUGCUUUUCCCCAGUACAGUGCUCUUGGAUGAAGCAGGAUGGCAGUGGGGACUAGGGAAGGAAGAGGAAGGAUUUCUACCCUAUUCAUGGUUUCAAGUGGGAUGGGUGCCACCAAGCUGUACCCUUGGGGGAUCCCUCUUCAUGCCAGCACCUUCUCCUUAGAGAUAAUCCAUCUUGCACCCCAAAAAUUCCAAAACACAAGUGGGUGGGAGUCUGGAUAGCCCUGGUGCUGCCCCACUAGAUGCCUCACUAUACCCCCACCCCUCGCUUGGGCAUCUCCUUCCUUGCUCUGAUUUCCAAAAGGCUGCAAACCCCCAAAGCCAUUUGAGUUGGCUGGAAAAGCCUGGGUUUGUUCCCUUUUAAUUCAAGACUGAGCACAGAGGCAAUUCUUUUUUAACUUAUCGAUUUCACCACCACCACCCCCUGCCCCCCCCCUCUGUGAAUGUCUGUGCUGGGCCCAGCAGUCCCUGGAGUGUCCUUCUGCCGCUGAGCUUCAAUUGUCUCUAAACUUCCAGAUCCAUCUUUUGGAUAUUUUUACAGGCCCUUGUCCAUUGUGGGCCUUUCCUUUUUAGUUUUUAUUGCCAACAUUUUUACCAGGAUGACAUUUUGACUAGUCUGGGAAAUCUUGCCUGCUACUCCGGUUCCUGACAAUCAAGAUUUAAUCUUUCCAAAGAGGAGGAAUGUAUCAGAUGGGGGGAGGGGGAGUUAAAAAUAUUCAAAUUUCUCUAAAAUUGCAGAAAAGCAGAGCAGGAGGAGCCUGCAGGAAAUCUCCAACCUAACCUGGAGCAUCAGAGCGACUGCGCAAGCCCUGGCUGUCGCCGGACAGAUGUUGGUCUAAUUACGGUGCUGGGGAUGCUCUGCCCUCAUACCCUGAGUGUGUCAUUGCAGCCAGGUGGCCUCUCUAAUCUGCAGUUUAAUUCUCUUUCGCCACUGUCUUCAGUCUCUGACUGAUGCUGGAUGGUAGUGAACCAUUCGCACAUCCCUCCUUGGUCAUCCCCAUGACUCUCAUAGAAUCCCAGAAUGGCCAAGGCCAGAAGAGACCUCUAGAGGUCAUCCAGCCUGGGCCCCCUGCAGUCAGCAGGGACAUCCCCACUAGACCAGGGCACCCAGGGCCCCAUCGAGCCUCACCUUGAAUGUCUCCAGGGAAGGGGCCUCAACCACCUCCCCGGGCAACCUCUUCCACCUGGGUAGGAGCCCUUUUUUUCUCCAUAACUCUCCCCAUUUCUCACCAGUAAGUGUUAGGGAAUGGAGAUUUCUAGACCGUGUGGUUUAGGCAUUCUGAGAUGCUUUUCCCCAUGUAUGGGUUGGCACUGCCAAGGCUGAGCACCAGCAAAAUGCUGCUGCUUGUCCCUCACCUCCCUGACCCUCCUCCAUCACAUUUGGCUUCACCUCUUUGCUCUGAAAACAGCUUAAUCCAGAUUUAGGAAGGAAAGUAAAAAGCAGGGGCAUUUUUUUUUUUUGCUAUUGAACAUGAAUCUCCUGGGAAUUCACCCAAGGAAUUCUCAGCUGCAGAGCUGCUAAGCAGUGCCAGCAGUGGUGGCAUUGCCAGUGCCUGUGACACACCAGCCAUGGGAGUGCUACUUCGUGGCUGCUCUGAAUCUGAGUUUCUUCUGGCAAGCUUCAUGGGCAGCUCAUUCGUGUGCAGGAUUUUACCAAAACCAAACUGUCUGGUCGCUGGCAAGGGGUUAUUUUAACACCUAAAUGGACAAGCAGAGAACAAAAAGAGAUUGUUGGAGAGGUGUCAAAUGCAAAAGCACUGAUUCCUUUGCCAGAUUUCCAAGCCCCUGGAUGGCAACAGUGACAGUGGAGGAGAGCUCCAUGCUUUGCCAUCACCACCAUGUGUGCUGGGAGCAAGCUGGGCCCCUGCAGACCUUCUCUGGCAGUGAGGUGGAUGGAGAUGGGGAUUGGAUUUGUUUCAUCUCUUCUCACCUUUCCUCUGUCUCUGUUUCUCUCAACGUGUGUUGCACACCCAGCACCCUCCAGCCCUGAUCAUCCAUCUCACACACCUUAGCCAGCAGGAAACUCAAAGAAAAACCCAUAAAGGAGAUGGGAAAUGAGGAUUGGAUUCGCAGUGUGCUUGUGCUAAUGGAAACCAUCCUUCACUGCUUAAUCAGAAGGAAUGGCCACGCACAAACCCAUUGCUUCUGCCCGGGCAGCACACGGGGUGGCCUUGCCAGGAUGCCUGGCAUGGUGAGCUCUGAUGUGGGCACUGGGCUCCAGCAUCCCGGCAUGACAUGACUGAUGCCUGCAGUGAUUACCAUGAGGAACAGCUUAUGGUGGGUGCAGAGCCACUUAACUCCCCUUUGCCUUUGCCUGUGGCAGCAAAUUGUCCCAUCCUUGAUGCCAGCUAUCUGUUGGCACACAGAAACCUUCCAGAUCCUCAUUUUGCUGAUAUUUCUAAUUGUGUGGGUCCAGGCUGCUGCUGCUACCUCUGGGGCUCGUCUCUGUCUAGCCCUCUCCGUGAAUUUGCUGUCUGCAAUGGGCCGGACCCAGCCCAGCGCAGGAGCUGCUGGUGGAUUUUGGCCCUGUCCGAUGCUCCCCAUAAAUUUCCCCUGGUUUAAUCUUGCUGCUGAGCUGGGUGGACUUUCCUAUUAACUCGAAGUGUCACCACGAACUGAUGGGCGAUGAGACCAUGAUUUCUGCCCUCCGCCGUUGGCGAUGGAAUGCAGGAUGUGCUUGAUGCCCCCUCCUCCGAUACAAUGCUCCCUCUCCCCUGCUGGCAUCUCUUUUUGAAUGCAUCCUUGCCCGGAGGCUGCAUUUAGGUGGAUUUUGCAAAGCUGUUCGGAGCUUGAGAAGGUGUUUGCAGUUUGGGGGCAGCUGCCAGGGCAUUUUGUAAAGUGCUUUGAUUGCCAGCAGGGGCUUGUGCCCCACAUGCCUCCCAAAUCUGUUGUGAACCUGGAAAA
Long non-coding RNA from Pogoniulus pusillus (Red-fronted tinkerbird), 4270 nucleotides. RefSeq lists it as uncharacterized. NCBI's taxonomy places the organism in Eukaryota, Metazoa, Chordata, Aves, Piciformes, Lybiidae. The record is from RefSeq and is a predicted model, not a curated record. The transcript is spliced from 2 exons.